UACGGGGGGGGCAAGCGUUGUUCGGAAUUACUGGGCGUAAAGCGCGCGUAGGCGGCUUUGUAAGUUAGAGGUGAAAGCCCGGGGCUCAACUCCGGAACUGCCUUUAAGACUGCAUCGCUUGAAUCCGGGAGAGGUGAGUGGAAUUCCGAGUGUAGAGGUGAAAUUCGUAGAUAUUCGGAAGAACACCAGUGGCGAAGGCGGCUCACUGGACCGGUAUUGACGCUGAGGUGCGAAAGCGUGGGGAGCAAACAGG
RNAcentral lists this ribosomal RNA (253 nucleotides) under uncultured bacterium. RNAcentral's name for it is "partial 16S ribosomal RNA". It matches the Rfam family "Bacterial small subunit ribosomal RNA", at positions 524 to 776 of the family's 1533-position model. The record is from RNAcentral.